Zonotrichia albicollis (white-throated sparrow) is the source of this 2035-nucleotide non-coding RNA. NCBI's taxonomy places the organism in Eukaryota, Metazoa, Chordata, Aves, Passeriformes, Passerellidae. The record is from RefSeq and is a predicted model, not a curated record.
UCUUGGCAUUAAGAGUGUUUUGUGGUUUUUUUUUUUUCCUCUAGUCUAUAUUUUGAAUUAUGAAACUUUGAUAAUUUCUAGAAAAGGUUAUAUUUCUUUCUAAAGCAGGUACAAGCUUCAAAUUCACAUGUAACCUGUAUGUAUAAAACCACCUUAAAAGAUGUUAUUGUUCCUUCCAGUAGUUUUUUUCUCCAUCUGCACAGAAAAUGUUUUUCCACUUCCAGGCAGACUCUUCUGUUCCUCUCUCUUAUGUACUCAGUCACCUUGUAAAUGCUGAGCAUUAUUGUACAGAAGAAGCUUUUUCACAGACUCCAUGACUUUGACAAUUACUUAUUGUAAUUUUUCCAUCUCUCCUGUCCUUUUUGACAGAUCCUGCAAGAUUAUGUUAUCCAUUAUGUGACCUUCCUACUUGACAUUCCUUUGUCAUUGUUCUGAAUGCGGGCACAAAGAGCUGAGGAAGGCUGGCAUGCCGAGGAGGGGAGAGGCCAGGAUUGUCACCCAGAGCUCCCAGAGCAGGUGUGCCUGGGCAGCUCUGGGCUCCCACACUGCAGCCAAGUUUGUUGUCUUACAGGCUUUCAAGAGGGGUGGCACAAUUCAAGAGAGGAUACUGAUGAAAUCACACUCAAACCUGAGUCUGAACAAGUCAGCAGAGCGCAGCUUUUGGGAGUGAGUCAUGUUAAAACCAAGCAUAUGCUCAAGUGUUUUGCUGGAUCAUGGCCAUAUUGAACUAUAAUGACCUAAAUGGAUUUGCUCCCCAGACAAAUUUACCCUUUGCUUUCCUCCUGCCCACACAUACAUUUGCACCUCAAUCAAUCACUUAUGUCUCCUUCUAUUUCCUGCAUCCUACUUUUAUGAAAAACUUUAUGACUUCUUUAAUCUCUUCUAAGCAUGGCUUUAUUUCCUCUACUGGUUUCCUUGAUAAUUCAUCAUCAGGGCUUUUUUGCCCCUACCUAAAGAUUUUCAAUUUUAGUGUAGAAAUUUAAUAAAAACAAAUUUGUUAAGUAAGACUUGUUAAAGGAACUGUUCCAUCUCUUUGUGCUCUUUUAUCUAAACCCCUUCCUGCCCAUAUAAGGACAAAGGUGUUGAAGAUGCACAUCAGGUAAACUAUUGCCUACAAAUGGCAAAAAUAACAUCUUGAAGCUCUCUUUCUGUGGAUUUUUUUUUUUUCUGACAUGUGGUCUUUAUAUCUAGAAUUAUAGACAUUUAGAUGUCAGGUAGCUAGAGAGAAAAAAAAAAUAGAAGAGAUAUUGUAGCAAAAUAUCAAAGAACUGAUGCAUUGGUGGUAGUUACAAGGUGUUUUAUUUCUCAAGAAGUGCCCAACUUUGUAAAGUUUUUAUCAUACCUGAUAGAAAAUUAAGGGCUGCUGAUAUUUUGCAAUUCAUUAGCCAUUGCUUGUUGAUUACAUAAUUGGUUAUUGAAUGAAGGAGCACUGUGAGGUCCUGUGAGAAGCUAAGCUGACAUGACUUCUGUCUUUCCUUUUUAUAACGAUAGUCAAUAGCUUGGUUGUAAGGAACAGAAUUGCUCUUUGUGACUGUAUUAGACAUUCUUCUGGGAGCUAGCUAAAAUUUGAGAGCAGAAAAGCAGUUCUGGAAAAUAAAGAAACAAAAAAAAAAAAAAAAAAAAAAAAAAACCCAGCAUGCCAGACAAAUCAAUAAGUGGAUGGAGCCGAGUCUGAGACUUUGGGGUUGGGUUAGAACCUAAAUCAAGACACUAUUGACUCUGCAAAGCCUGUAUCUUUAGGGGUGCCUAUAUCAAAAUCAAUAUUGCUUUCCUGCUUUAUUUGAUAACUUCUAUGCCUUUGUGCAAGCAAAUCCAUUUUACAGUUGUAUUUCUUUUCUUGAGCAAAAGUCUUCUCUUUGGUAUGUGUGACCUGUGUACUAUGGCUCUGUGUAAAUUAAAAGGUGGAUUGUGUGUGAUAUCUGUCACCAGUGUUCUCCAAUGAUGACAUUUGCAAAGGAAAUGAAAUAUCUGUAAAUUCUUUGCUGCAUAAUUUAUGCUCAACUCCUAUAUGUGAGUUCUCUACAAGCUGUUCUCC